GAUCCUGGCUCAGAAUCAACGCUGGCGGCGUGCCUAACACAUGCAAGUCGAACGCGAAAGCCCCGCAAGGGGUAAGUAGAGUGGCAAACGGGUGAGUAACACGUGGGUGACCUGCCCUCGAGUGGGGGAUAACGUCCCGAAAGGGACGCUAAUACCGCAUAACAUCCUGCUCUUGGACGAGUGGAGAUCAAAGCCGGGGAUCGCAAGACCUGGCACUUGAAGAGGGGCCCGCGCCUGAUUAGCUAGUUGGUGGGGUAAUGGCCUACCAAGGCUACGAUCAGUAUCCGGCCUGAGAGGGCGGACGGACACACUGGGACUGAGACACGGCCCAGACUCCUACGGGAGGCAGCAGUGGGGAAUUGUUCGCAAUGGGCGCAAGCCUGACGACGCAACGCCGCGUGGAGGAUGAAGAUCUUCGGGUCGUAAACUCCUGUCGAGCGGGAAGAAACUCACGAGGGUGAAUAACCCUCGUGGCUGACGGUACCGCUAAAGGAAGCCCCGGCUAACUCCGUGCCAGCAGCCGCGGUAAUACGGGGGGGGCAAGCGUUGUUCGGAAUUACUGGGCGUAAAGGGCUCGUAGGCGGCCAACUAAGUCGGACGUGAAAUCCCCAGGCUCAACCUGGGAACUGCGUCCGAUACUGGAUGGCUUGAAUUCGGGAGAGGGAUGCAGAAUUCCAGGUGUAGCGGUGA
Molecule: ribosomal RNA, 690 nt
Filed under: uncultured Acidobacteriota bacterium
Lineage: Bacteria; Pseudomonadati; Acidobacteriota
Description: bacterial SSU rRNA
Rfam family: Bacterial small subunit ribosomal RNA
Source: RNAcentral